RNAcentral lists this ribosomal RNA (443 nucleotides) under uncultured bacterium. RNAcentral's name for it is "partial 16S ribosomal RNA". It matches the Rfam family "Bacterial small subunit ribosomal RNA", at positions 338 to 795 of the family's 1533-position model. The record is from RNAcentral.
CCUACGGGAGGCAGCAGUGGGGAAUAUUGGGCAAUGGGCGCAAGCCUGACCCAGCAACGCCGCGUGAAGGAAGAAGGCUUUCGGGUUGUAAACUUCUUUUCUCAGGGACGAAGCAAGUGACGGUACCUGAGGAAUAAGCCACGGCUAACUACGUGCCAGCAGCCGCGGUAAUACGUAGGUGGCAAGCGUUAUCCGGAUUUACUGGGUGUAAAGGGAGUGUAGGCGGGAAAGCAAGUCAGAUGUGAAAACCAUGGGCUCAACCUGUGGCCUGCAUUUGAAACUGUUUUUCUUGAGUACUGGAGAGGCAGACGGAAUUCCUAGUGUAGCGGUGAAAUGCGUAGAGAUUAGGAGGAACACCAGUGGCGAAGGCGGUCUGCUGGACAGCAACUGACGCUGAGGCGCGAAAGCGUGGGGAGCAAACAGGAUUAGAUACCCUGGUAGUC